CGUAGGAUGCAAGCGUUGUCCGGAUUUACUGGGCGUAAAGCGCGCGCAGGCGGCACUACAAGUAAGGUGUGAAAUCUCCCUGCUCAACGGGGAGGGUGCACUUUAGACUGUAGAGCUAGAGGUCGGUAGAGGGGGUGGAAUUGCUGGUGUAGCGGUGAAAUGCGUAGAGAUCAGCAGGAACACCCGUGGCGAAGGCGGCCCCCUGGGCCGUACCUGACGCUGAGGCGCGAAGGCUAGGGGAGCGAACGGGAUU
This 253-nucleotide ribosomal RNA is filed under the name uncultured bacterium. Its description in RNAcentral is "partial 16S ribosomal RNA". It matches the Rfam family "Bacterial small subunit ribosomal RNA", at positions 526 to 779 of the family's 1533-position model. The record is from RNAcentral.